Molecule: long non-coding RNA, 246 nt
Organism: Raphanus sativus (radish)
Lineage: Eukaryota; Viridiplantae; Streptophyta; Magnoliopsida; Brassicales; Brassicaceae
Exons: 2
Source: RefSeq, a predicted model, not a curated record
AACAUUUGAAUUGUGUUUAUUAAAAAAUGCUCUCACGUUAAAAAGUCCUCGUAUCAGAUGAGAACCUUCUGGCUGCGUCAGAAUUAUCACACGCUUAGUCCGGUCCACGUCAGAUUCCUAAAUUUGAGAAAACCAUUUGUCUUUUUCUUAUUCAGAAGGUUAUUAAUCUUUUUGCUCUGUUAUUAUUUCUUCGUCACGAGAAUGGUUCACUUCAUAGUUCAGAGUUCAGACAUACUUUUUCUGGUU